AUACGGAGGGUGCAAGCGUUACUCGGAAUCACUGGGCGUAAAGGGCGCGCAGGCGGUUUGGUAAGUCAGAUGUGAAAGCCCACGGCUCAACCGUGGAAGUGCAUUUGAAACUGUCAGACUUGAGUACUAGAGGGGAAAGUGGAAUUCCCGGUGUAGAGGUGAAAUUCGUAGAUAUCGGGAGGAAUACCGGUGGCGAAGGCGACUUUCUGGCUAGAUACUGACGCUGAGGCGCGAAAGCGUGGGGAGCAAACAGGAUUAGAUACCCUAGUAGUCC
This 274-nucleotide ribosomal RNA is filed under the name uncultured bacterium. RNAcentral describes it as "partial 16S ribosomal RNA". It matches the Rfam family "Bacterial small subunit ribosomal RNA", at positions 523 to 796 of the family's 1533-position model. The record is from RNAcentral.